GAUUAGCCUGCGUCCGAUUAGCUAGUUGGUGAGGUAAGGGCUCACCAAGGCGACGAUCGGUAGCUGGUCUGAGAGGAUGGCCAGCCACACUGGAACUGAGACACGGUCCAGACUCCUACGGGAGGCAGCAGUGGGGAAUAUUGGACAAUGGGGGGAACCCUGAUCCAGCAAUGCCGCGUGUGUGAAGAAGGCCUGAGGGUUGUAAAGCACUUUCAGUGGGGAGGAGGGUUGACUGGUUAAGAGCUGAUUAAUUGGACGUUACCCACAGAAGAAGCACCGGCUAACUCCGUGCCAGCAGCCGCGGUAAUACGGAGGGUGCGAGCGUUAAUCGGAAUUACUGGGCGUAAAGGGUGCGUAGGUGGUUUGAUAAGUUAUCUGUAAAAGCCCUGGGCUCAACCUGGGAAGGCCAGAUAAAACUGUUGGACUGGAGUAUAGGAGAGGGUAGUGGAAUUUCCGGUGUAGCGGUGAAAUGCGUAGAGAUCGGAAGGAACACCAGUGGCGAAGGCGGCUACCUGGCCUGAUACUGACACUGAAGCACGAAAGCGUGGGGAGCAAACAGGAUUAGAUACCCUGGUAGUCCACGCUGUAAACGAUGUCAACUAGCUGUUGG
This 610-nucleotide ribosomal RNA is filed under the name uncultured bacterium. Its description in RNAcentral is "bacterial SSU rRNA". It matches the Rfam family "Bacterial small subunit ribosomal RNA", at positions 224 to 826 of the family's 1533-position model. The record is from RNAcentral. RNAcentral also lists the same sequence under 1 other name.